GAAAGAUUCAUCGGAAGAGGAUGGGCAUGCGGCGCAUUAGCUGGACGGCGGGGUAACGGCCCACCGUGGCGACGAUGCGUAGGGGUUCUGAGAGGAAGGUCCCCCACACUGGUACUGAGACACGGACCAGACUCCUACGGGAGGCAGCAGUGAGGAAUAUUGGUCAAUGGGAGAGAUCCUGAACCAGCCAAGCCGCGUGAGGGAAGACGGCCCUAUGGGUUGUAAACCUCUUUUGUCGGAGAACAAAACCCGGGACGAGUCCCGGACUGCGUGUAUCCGAAGAAAAAGCAUCGGCUAACUCCGUGCCAGCAGCCGCGGUAAUACGGAGGAUGCGAGCGUUAUCCGGAUUUAUUGGGUUUAAAGGGUGCGUAGGCGGUCCGUUAAGUCAGCGGUAAAAUUGCGGGGCUCAACCCCGUCGAGCCGUUGAAACUGGCAGACUUGAGUUGGCGAGAAGUACGCGGAAUGCGCGGUGUAGCGGUGAAAUGCAUAGAUAUCGCGCAGAACUCCGAUUGCGAAGGCAGCGUACCGGCGCCACACUGACGCUGAGGCACGAAAGCGUGGGGAUCGAACAGGAUUAGAUACCCUGGUAGUCCACGCAGUAAACGAUGAAUGCUGGUUGUCCGGGUCGAAUGAGAUCUGG
Molecule: ribosomal RNA, 640 nt
Filed under: uncultured bacterium
Lineage: Bacteria
Description: bacterial SSU rRNA
Rfam family: Bacterial small subunit ribosomal RNA
Source: RNAcentral